RNAcentral lists this ribosomal RNA (297 nucleotides) under Melampsora abietis-populi. RNAcentral's name for it is "partial large subunit ribosomal RNA". Lineage: Eukaryota; Fungi; Basidiomycota; Pucciniomycetes; Pucciniales; Melampsoraceae. The record is from RNAcentral.
UUAGCAUAUCCCAAUUCGGAGGAAAAGAUGAAAAGAACUUUGAAAAUAGAGUUAACAGUACGUGAAAUUGCUGAAAGGGAAACGUUUGAAGUUAGUAUUGUAUUCGUUGGAUCAGCUUCGCAAGGAGUGUAUUCUGAUGAUAAGCAAGUCAACAUCAAUCUUUGGGUGUUGGAUAAGGGUUUUGAGGACGUAGCAAUUUAAUUGUGUUAUAACUUGAGACUUGGAUACAAUGCUUGGGAUUGAGGAACGCGUAGUAAGCUUGAGCGGAUCAGCAAUGAUCUCCUACUAUGGAUGUGU